This 59-nucleotide microRNA precursor is filed under the name Dasypus novemcinctus (nine-banded armadillo). RNAcentral describes it as "miRNA (ENSDNOG00000041879.1)". The record is from RNAcentral. Lineage: Eukaryota; Metazoa; Chordata; Mammalia; Cingulata; Dasypodidae.
CCCUGGGGAACCCAGGGGCACCAGGUUGCCUAAGGAGGGGGGAGCCUGGCACAUGCCAG